Long non-coding RNA from Chelonia mydas (Green sea turtle), 1958 nucleotides. RefSeq lists it as uncharacterized. Lineage: Eukaryota; Metazoa; Chordata; Testudines; Cheloniidae. The transcript is spliced from 6 exons. The record is from RefSeq and is a predicted model, not a curated record.
AGGGACAAAGGAAACCGCAGACACGAGGAGUCAAAAAAGUGUCCCCGAGAGAGAGGCGCCCAGGCCAGGGAUGCAAAGAGCCAGCCCAGCCCGGAGGAAGCAGCGAAGGGAGCUGCAGAUCUCAAAGCUUCUCACAAGGGAAGGCGAGCGUCAUUAUCCCCAGUGUAAAGGACAUGACUUGUCCGUGAUCAUACAGCAGAUCGGUGGCUGAGCCAGGAGUAGAAACCCGAUCUCCUGAGUCCCAGACCAGCAUCCUAGACCAUGCUACCCCCCAACUGCCUCUGCAGCUCUGGUACUGAUGCUGUACUUGUAGUGAGGUCUCUGUGGCGCAAUGGACGAGCGCGCUGGACUUCUAAUCCAGAGGUUCCGGGUUCGAGUCCCGGCAGAGAUGAUCUCCAGGCAGGUGUCUUUUAUUUUGCACUCACUCAGUUACUGGCCAACCCAGCCUGGGGGCAGGAUGUGGAGCUGCACAAAACUGCAUCUGGGGUUUGCAGUGUGACCAGCCUCCCAGAGAGUUAUCAAGACAGCUUCCACCUGGUUUAGGUGGUCCUCCCAGUGACUACUGCAGAUUACUAUGUCGUCCAGGGCCUGUCCAGCAGGUGACCUCGUAUGUCCCCUGCCAGCAAGCCAUCAGCUUCGACUCGGCUGAAGGGAGCAAGACAAGGACUCGGUCCCCCGGCUCGAAGAUCCGCUCUCGCAAAUAGCGAUUGUACUCUUGUGCUUGGGCCUUUUGGGCGACUUGGAGGUACUCCUAGGCAAGGAUCCCAGCCUGGGCAAGGCGCUCUUGGAGCUUAAACACAUACUGAAGCAACCCUUCAGCACGGGACAGGGUCUGUUCCCAUGUCUCCCACAUGAGAUCCAUCAGGCCUUGAGGCCGGAGGCUGUAUAGGAGCUCGAAAGGCGAAAAUUUGGUGGAUGCCUGUGGCAGCUCCCGAAUAGCAAGCAGCAGGUGGGGAGUGAGCUGAUCCCAGUGGCAGAGCUCCUCAGGGGGGAAUUUCCGAAGCAUAUUCUUUAGUGCCCGGUUAAACUGUUCCACCAACCCCUCUGUUUGCAGGUGGUAGACGGAAGUCUGGAGCUUUUUGAUCCCCAGAAGAGCACACACCUCCCGGAGGAGCCAGGAGGUAAAGUUCAUCCCCUGAUCGGAGAGUAAUUCCUGGGGCAGGCCCACUCAGGCAAAGAUUUUGAUAAGCUCUGCUGCUACAGUACGGGCUGUGGCAUUUCUCAGCGGGUUGGCCUCAGGAACCUGGGUGGCAUAGUCCAGGACUACCAGGAUAUACCGGAAUCCGGCAGCGCUCUUAACCAGAGGCCCCACCAAGUCCAUGGCUACCCUUUCAAAAGGGGUUCCCACCAGCAGGAGAGGGACCUCGCUCGCAUUCUGGGCAGGAGGUGCAGUGGUCCUUAGUGUCACAGUGUACACCUGGCCAAAAGAAAUGAGACAGAACCCGGGCCAGCGUCUUCUCCAGUCCGAGGUGGCCGGUCACCAGGACAUCGUGCACCAGCCUUAACAUGGCUCAUCUAUGGCAUCAAGGGAUCAGCAGCUGGGACCGGGGCUUUCAGAUCCUGGGGUCCAGCUCGACUCGGUACAGACGAUCCCGAGUGAGCUCAAACCAAGGCCACUGAUUGGCCCUCUGUGCAUCUACCAUGACCACAUCCAUGCAGGACAGCUGCUCAUAGGCAUGCUUCAGUGUGGAGUCAUCCCUUUGAUGCUGGCAAAAGUCUGUUGCCAUGUCUAGCCAGAUAUCUGCCCCGUUGGGAGGGAUUGGUGUGGCAUUGUCCCUGGCAGUCUGAUCCUCUGGUGGACCGAGGCCCAGUUCCCCUAACUCCAUCUCCAUGUUGUCAGGGUGUCCCCCUCUGUCAUAAAUAUAAAGGGAAGGGUAAACCCUUUAAAAUCCCUUCUGGCCAGAGGAAAAAUCCUCUCACCUGUAAAGGGUUAAGAAGCUAAAGGUAACCUCGCUGGC